UCGGGUGUGGUGUACGGUACACAGCAAGCUUCGGUGAAGUUGCCGUAUCUUUGAACGCGCAGCUUGCAGACCGGGGUUCGACUCCCCGCAUCCGAA
Non-coding RNA from Mycena polygramma, 96 nucleotides. The record is from the annotation of a GenBank genome assembly. NCBI's taxonomy places the organism in Eukaryota, Fungi, Basidiomycota, Agaricomycetes, Agaricales, Mycenaceae.